UACGUAGGGUGCUAGCGUUGUCCGGAUUUAUUGGGCGUAAAGAGCGUGUAGGCGGCCAGAUAGGUCUGCUGUGAAAACUCGAGGCUCAACCUCGAGCUGUCGGCGGAAACCAUUUGGCUAGAGUCCGGAAGAGGAGAGUGGAAUUCCUGGUGUAGCGGUGAAAUGCGCAGAUAUCAGGAAGAACACCUAUGGCGAAGGCAGCUCUCUGGGACGGUACUGACGCUGAGACGCGAAAGCGUGGGGAGCGAACAGG
Molecule: ribosomal RNA, 253 nt
Filed under: uncultured bacterium
Lineage: Bacteria
Description: partial 16S ribosomal RNA
Rfam family: Bacterial small subunit ribosomal RNA
Source: RNAcentral